RNAcentral lists this unclassified non-coding RNA (497 nucleotides) under Hevea brasiliensis (rubber tree). The record is from RNAcentral. Lineage: Eukaryota; Viridiplantae; Streptophyta; Magnoliopsida; Malpighiales; Euphorbiaceae.
GGGGGUGGUGGAUUUGGCACCAUGGGCAGCGGACUUGUGCAGUCUGCUAUGGUUAAUGGAAUUAGAGCUGCAAUGGGUAAUAACACGGUGAUAAAUGGACGUGUGAGUGUACCAUCGAUGGUUCGAGACCAAACCAUGAAUCUUCAACAUGAUUUGGGGAACCAACUGCUUAGUGGGCUAGGAGCAGUUAAUGGAUUUAAUAAUCUUCCGUAUGAUUGGAAACCAUCCCCGUGAAGGCUCUAUCAAUGAUACUGGUGUUUCAGUUCUUGAUUGUAGCUGCUUGUGUAGCAUGAGCGUGGGCAGAAAUUCCUACAGCCCUGUGAAGAUGGUAUUGCAUGGUGGAAUAGUUCAGGGCUAACUUCCCACUUUGUACUAAUUUCAGGAAAAAAGAAACAACUCGAAGAGGAUUUAACAUUUCAUUGAUAAAACCCUCUUCGAGUUGUUUCUUUUUUCUUCUAAUUGUUCUGAUUUAUGAUUCAAUACAGCCUCUUUUCCCA